CGCAAAUUGGUGAGAAUUACAGGUGCUUCUCCUCAUAUAGCGGGUGGCUUAAGCAUCUCGAAUAUUCCAGAAUUUACUGGCACCGUCUCGUCUAGGCGGUCGCCAUAUUAAUAUGCAACAGAGAAAUUUAGUGACGGGCCGGACAAAUCUUGCUCGAGGGCUGCAUGUGGCCCGCGGACCGGGAGUUGCCCACCCCUACUGUACUGUAUCGAAUAGUAUACUGUAUGGAAAAAGAUUUGCAACAAACUCUCUAAAAUCUUUCCACGUUAUGAACUUUUUUAAGAUUAGUGUUAAAAUCAAGUAUUGCUUUUCCGUGAC
Molecule: long non-coding RNA, 318 nt
Filed under: Androctonus crassicauda
Lineage: Eukaryota; Metazoa; Arthropoda; Arachnida; Scorpiones; Buthidae
Source: RNAcentral